GACGAACGCUGGCGGCGCGCUUAGCACAUGCAAGUCGAACUGACAGUCCCUGCUUUUGUGGUGUGCUCGAGUGGCGAACGGGUCCGUAACACGUGAGUAACCCGCCCUAGACUAUGUGAUAACUUCAGCAACCUGGUGCUGAUUCCGGAUAGCAGCUUCCGCUGCAUGGUGGGGGUUGGAAAGUUUCCGCGGAUGGGGUUGGACUCGCCGGUUUUCAGCUUCUGGGUGGGGUAGUGGCAUACCAAGGCUUCUACGAGUAGCCGGCCUGAGAGGGUGACGUGCCACAUGGGGACUGAGGUACGGCCCAGACUGCUACGGGGGCUAGAAGUGGGGAAUACUGAACUAUGGGCGGAAAACUGAUUGAGGAACGCCGCGUGGAGGAUGACGACCUUCGGGUCGUAACCCGCUUUCGCCUGUGACGAAGCCUUGCUGACGGUAAUGGGGCAAGAAGCACGCACUAACUACGUG
RNAcentral lists this ribosomal RNA (468 nucleotides) under uncultured bacterium. RNAcentral describes it as "partial 16S ribosomal RNA". It matches the Rfam family "Bacterial small subunit ribosomal RNA", at positions 28 to 507 of the family's 1533-position model. The record is from RNAcentral.